This 468-nucleotide ribosomal RNA is filed under the name uncultured bacterium. Its description in RNAcentral is "partial 16S ribosomal RNA". It matches the Rfam family "Bacterial small subunit ribosomal RNA", at positions 28 to 507 of the family's 1533-position model. The record is from RNAcentral.
GACGAACGCUGGCGGCGUGCUUAACACAUGCAAGUCGAACGGAAAGGCCCUGCGUUUGUGGGGUGCUCGUGUGGCGAACGGGUGAGUAAAACGCGAGUAACCUGCACUUGACUGUGGGAUAACUUCAGGAAACUGGGGCGAAUACAGGAUAGGAGAUCCUGCUGCAUGGUGGGGGUUGGAGAGUUUCGGCUGUUGGGGAUGGACUCGCGGCUUAUGAGCUAGAUGGUGGGGUAGUGGCGUACCAAGGCUAUGACGGGUAGCCGGCAUGAGAGGGUGACCGGCCUCCUUGCGCCUGCGGUAGGGCCCAGUCUCCUAUGGGCGGCAGCAGUCGGGAGUAUUGCACAACGGGCGGAAGCCUGAUGCAGCGGCGCCCCGUGCGGGAUGCCGGCUUUCUGGUUGUAAACCGCUUUCGCCUGUGACGAAGCGUGAGUGACGGUACUUGGUAAAGAAGCCCCGGCUAACUACGUG